Molecule: unclassified non-coding RNA, 329 nt
Filed under: soil metagenome
Description: partial contains 5.8S ribosomal RNA, internal transcribed spacer 2, and large subunit ribosomal RNA
Rfam family: 5.8S ribosomal RNA (bases 1-120)
Source: RNAcentral
GAUGAAGAACGUAGUGAAAUGCAAUAAGUAAUGUGAAUUGCAGAAUUCAGUGAAUCAUCGAAUCUUUGAACGCACAUUGCGCCCCCUGGUAUUCCGGGGGGCAUGCCUGUCCGAGCGUCAUUACAACCCUCAAGCUCAGCUUGGUGUUGGGCCCCGCCGCCCCGGCGGGCCCUAAAGUCAGUGGCGGUGCCGUCCGGCUCCGAGCGUAGUAAUUCUUCUCGCUCUGGAGGUCCGGUCGUGUGCUCGCCAGCAACCCCCAAUUUUUUUCAGGUUGACCUCGGAUCAGGUAGGGAUACCCGCUGAACUUAAGCAUAUCAAUAAGCGGAGGA